This 70-nucleotide transfer RNA is filed under the name Rheobates palmatus (palm rocket frog). Its description in RNAcentral is "tRNA-Ser". It matches the Rfam family "tRNA". Rfam says of the family: Transfer RNA (tRNA) molecules are approximately 80 nucleotides in length. Their secondary structure includes four short double-helical elements and three loops (D, anti-codon, and T loops). Further hydrogen bonds mediate the characteristic L-shaped molecular structure. tRNAs have two regions of fundamental functional importance: the anti-codon, which is responsible for specific mRNA codon recognition, and the 3' end, to which the tRNAs corresponding amino acid is attached (by aminoacyl-tRNA synthetases). tRNAs cope with the degeneracy of the genetic code in two manners: having more than one tRNA (with a specific anti-codon) for a particular amino acid; and 'wobble' base-pairing, i.e. permitting non-standard base-pairing at the 3rd anti-codon position. Lineage: Eukaryota; Metazoa; Chordata; Amphibia; Anura; Aromobatidae. The record is from RNAcentral.
AAGGAAAUGACAGAGUGGUAUGUACCUGGCUUGAAACCAGAGAAUGGGGGUUCGAUUCCCUCUUUCCUCG